UGAUGGAUGCAACUUUUCCCAUAGAAGUGCAUAUAGGCCUCAUUAAUUCCUUAUCUAUCGCAUGGUCUGCCUUCCAAGCUCUUAAUGCUUACAUUGUGGCGUCCAACUACUGCUACAUUCAUACAAAUUCUCUCUCUCACUUGCUUUUCCCAAACCCUCUCUACCUCUCUAACUUUCUGGUUUCUCUCCUCUUCUCUUCCGCUCUAAGGUAGGUUUAGCUAUAUAGCCAUGGUGAUGAUGGGCUUGGAAAGGUUGAUGGUGACUUUGAAAUCUAAAAUAAGGUCCUUGAAGAUGAAGAAACCGUAUGACAAGAUUGAAAAGAGUGAAAGCAUGAGGAUUGAGAUCAGAAGCAGGAAGGCUCAGAAGCUUAUUCAAAAGACCCUCAAAAUUGCGGAUUCACCCAAGACCAAGGCUAUUGUUUUCUGACUUCUGAGUGUUUCUCAUCUAAUGAUAACAGACCAUAAAUAACAGGCUGGUUAAUUUCUGUUUUUGAUGUUAAACAUUGUAGUUUUAUACAAGAUGGUAUAAGUAUCUCUUUUUUUU
RNA transcript from Quercus robur (English oak), 543 nucleotides. RefSeq lists it as uncharacterized. The transcript is spliced from 2 exons. The record is from RefSeq and is a predicted model, not a curated record. NCBI's taxonomy places the organism in Eukaryota, Viridiplantae, Streptophyta, Magnoliopsida, Fagales, Fagaceae.